This 1696-nucleotide small RNA is filed under the name Rattus norvegicus (Norway rat). Its description in RNAcentral is "uncharacterized LOC102549584". Lineage: Eukaryota; Metazoa; Chordata; Mammalia; Rodentia; Muridae. The record is from RNAcentral.
UUCACUCAACAGUGACAUCCAGGACAUCCUCCCACAUUCCAGGAACCAAGAGGGCCUGAUGUGAAUUCAGCAUCAACAAGUCAGAAAAGAAGGAUGGUUGGGAGUGCACAUGGCUGCUUUAGCCUAGAUCUAUACACAGAAAAGUCUCUAUAGCAAGCUACCCAACAGGCCAGACUACAGCCCUACAACAAUCAGCUCAGAACACUCAGGACUCAUUAACAAUGGCUGGACUCCUUAUUUUUUAACCCCUGCUUCCCACUCAGGCUCAACCAGAAAAAGUACACUGGGCUUUCCAACACAACCACAUACUAUGCCCCAUCUCUACUCAGCCCUCACCCUCCCUGACAUCCUCCAGUCACAAACCUUCCCGUAUUUCACUUAAAGUUUUCUCAACUCCCCAGCUGCCUCUGAAUUGCUGACAAGUGUUAAGUCCUGGGGCCGAGCUUGUGCCCUGUAAAGAAUCUUAGGUCUGCUCUCCUUUGCGUGGUUAUUGAUGAUGGAGCACUAAGCUGGGGUGAUGAGGAUUGAUGAAACCCUGUAGCCUUCUCUGAGAAAUGACAGAAGAAACAAGAAGGGACCAGAAGACAGGAUGCCACCAUCCUAUCUGAGAACACUAGAUAACUGCUUCUCUCUCCUGUCCACAGACUCAAGUCCAUGGAAAAGAAAGAAGUGCUUUAAGACCGAGCUUUCUAAUUGCUUGAGGUCUGGACAUGGACUAGGGCAUAACUUAUAUAACCAGGACACAGAAGCUGCUCGUGAGCAAGAGAACAGUAAUAAACACUCUCAGAAGGGCAUAGCUUCUACUACUCUCUGACCGUUCCUUCUCAGCCUCGUGGAGUUGCCCUCAUUCUCCAUCUCAGGAAUCACAUGAACCUCAAGAUACUGAUCCUGUUAGCUAGGAGUCAGGUCAUCUUCACGGAAGUAGGUAUGGCUCUGGCUGAAGAUACGCUCAGCACUUAAGAGCAUUCGCUUUUCUUCCAAAGGAAACAAGUUCUCCCAGGAUGGAAGUCGGACUGUUCACAACUACGAGACUCCAGCUCCAAGACAUCUGACACCCUCCUUUGAUGUUGGUGGGUACUUACAUAUUUAUGCACACGCACACAUACACACACAUAGUCACAGGCACACACACAUGCACACACAAUUAACUUGUUAAACGUGUAUGGCUGCUCCGUUCUUAGGCUGGUGUCCCUAGCCUCUCCUGAAAUCCAUAUGCUGGAAUCUAAUAGCCAUUAUGAUGGGACUGAGUGUCAAUUUUUUUUGGGAAAAGAAUUAAAUCCCGAGGACCCCACCUUCAUGAGUGGGAUUGAUGCCCUUUUAGAAGAUGUUCAGACAAACUCUCUCAUGUCCUUCUCCCAUAAGAAGAUGCAACACAAGGAUGCUGCCUCAGAGACAGAGAGAACACCGGACAAGAAACUGUAUUUUAUGCUUCACCUUUCCUGGCUGGCCUCUAGACUUAUAAGCAGUAAACAUCCAUCAUCUGUGAGCUACUAAUCUAAGUACUUUAUCAUAUGUGAGUACACGAAGACCAUGAUUUAAGCCAACAUUACAAGAAGAUAUGGAUGGGUUUAGACUUAAAAUGAAUCCCAAAGCAAUUCUUUAUGAAGAGGGUACGAAUUCGUCACAGAAUACCUGUAAAGAUAAACAUUUUCAAAGGCAAUUUCAGUUGCAAAUAUGUGGCAUGAAAAAUAAACUC